GACAGAGGGGGCAAGCGUUGCUCGGAAUUACUGGGCGUAAAGGGCGCGUAGGCGGGAUGGCAAGUCGGUCGUGAAAUCCCUCGGCUCAACUGAGGAUCGUCGAUCGAUACUGCCGUUCUUGAGGAUUGCAGAGGAGACUGGAAUUCCCGGUGUAGCGGUGAAAUGUGUAGAGAUCGGGAGGAACACCAGUGGCGAAGGCGGCUCACUGGCCCGUAACUGACGCUGAGGCACGAAAGCGUGGGGAGCAAACAGG
RNAcentral lists this ribosomal RNA (253 nucleotides) under uncultured bacterium. Its description in RNAcentral is "partial 16S ribosomal RNA". It matches the Rfam family "Bacterial small subunit ribosomal RNA", at positions 524 to 776 of the family's 1533-position model. The record is from RNAcentral.